AUGAAUGCUGGCGGCGUGCCUAAUACAUGCAAGUCGAGCGGUAACAGGGGGUCCACCGUGCUCUUGACACUCAGGGCUAUUAUGCGUGAGGUUGAAUUCGAGAGUACAGUGGAACCCUGCUGACGAGCGGCGGACGGCUGAGUAACGCGUGGGAACGGACCCCAAACUGAGGGAUAACUAGUCGAAAGAUUAGCUAAUACCGCAUGUGAUCUUCGGAUUAAAGGAUUUAUCCGGUUUGGGACUGGCCUGCGUACGAUUAGAUAGUUGGCGGGGUAAUAGCCCACCAAGUCGACGAUCGUUAGAUGGUUUGGGAAGAUGAUCAUCCAGACUGGGACUGAGACACGGCCCAGACUCCUACGGGAGGCAGCAGUAGGGAAUCUUUCACAAUGGGCGAAAGCCUGAUGGAAGCAACGCCGCGUGCAGGAUGACGGCCUUCGGGUUGUAAACUGCUUUUAUAAGCGAGAAAUAUGAUGGUAACUUAUGAAUAAGGACCGGCUAACUACGUGCCAGCAGCUGC
RNAcentral lists this ribosomal RNA (517 nucleotides) under uncultured bacterium. RNAcentral describes it as "bacterial SSU rRNA". It matches the Rfam family "Bacterial small subunit ribosomal RNA", at positions 29 to 518 of the family's 1533-position model. The record is from RNAcentral.